GAUGAACGCUAGCGGCAGGCUUAACACAUGCAAGUCGAGGGGUAUGCCGAUUUAUCGGCAGAGACCGGCGCACGGGUGCGUAACGCGUAUGCAAUCUACCUUUCACAGAGGGAUAGCCCAGAGAAAUUUGGAUUAAUACCUCAUAGUAUAGCGGUUUCGCAUGAAACCACUAUUAAAGUUCCAACGGUGAAAGAUGAGCAUGCGUCCCAUUAGCUAGAUGGUAAGGUAACGGCUUACCAUGGCUACGAUGGGUAGGGGUCCGUGAGAGGGAGAUCCCCACACUGGUACUGAGACACGGACCAGACUCCUACGGGAGGCAGCAGUGAGGAAUAUUGGUCAAUGGACG
This 346-nucleotide ribosomal RNA is filed under the name uncultured bacterium. RNAcentral describes it as "bacterial SSU rRNA". It matches the Rfam family "Bacterial small subunit ribosomal RNA", at positions 28 to 377 of the family's 1533-position model. The record is from RNAcentral.